UUUAAUCCUCAAAACAAACCAAACACUUGUGGUUUCUCUUUCUUCCCAUUACUCUUCUUUUCUCUUUCUUUUUAGUACACAUAUUGGCCCCUAAGAAGAAACUAAGGUUGCAUGGUGGUGGAUUUAAACAAUGGUCCAAACAAGAACAAUCCAACUGAUCAUCUUUUGUCUGCUUAUUAUUUCUAUGCAAGUUUUGGUGCAGCUGGGAGCUUCAACAAAUUCUGGUGACUAUGUUGUGUUAGAGUCACUGAAGGAAGAGUGGGAAAACGUACCUCCAAGUUGGGAUGGGUCUGAUCCUUGUAACGAUCCAUGGGAAGGCAUGACUGCAACAAUUCACGUGUUAUUUCUAUAAAAUUAUCAAGCAUUAAUCUGAAAGGGGAGCUAUCUGGAGAUAUCGAAGGCUUGUCUGAAUUGCAGAUAUUGGAUCUAUCAUACAACAAAGGCAUGACAGGUUCACUCCCUCAAUCAAUUGGAAAUUUGAAGAGUUUAUCAAUUCUGAUCCUUGUUGGUUGUGGGUUUUCUGGACUGAUACCAAACACAAUCGGAUCCCUUAGCCAGCUGGAAUUUCUAUCUUUGAAUUUAAACAACUUUAUCGGACCGAUACCAGCUUCUGUUGGUAAUUUAUCAAAGUUGCGUUGGCUGGACUUAGCUGAUAAUAAGCUCAGUGGACCUCUUCCAGUUUCACCUGGUCUAGACAUGCUUGUUCACACAAAGCAUUUUCACCUGGGGAGAAAUCAGUUCUCAGGUGAGAUUCCAGAUCAGCUAUUCAGCUCAAAUAUGACUCUCAAACAUUUGCUGCUUGAGCAAAACCAGCUUACUGGAAAAAUACCCCCUUCAUUAGGACUUGUGCAGACUCUGGAGGUGGUUCGUCUUGACAGGAAUUCAUUAGACGGAUCGAUUCCAUCAACCCUCAAAAAUCUCACACUUAUGAGUGAACUCUUCUUAUCAAACAAUAAAUUCACUGGCCCCUUGCCCAAUCUUGCUGGCAUGAAUGCCCUCUACUACUUAGAUAUGAGCAAUAAUACAUUCAGCUCAGCUGAUUUUCCGCAGUGGUUUUCAACUUUGCAGUCAUUGACGACUCUGGUAAUGGAGAACACUCAACUUCAAGGAGAAAUUCCGUCAACCCUCUUCAGUCUUUUUCAGUUGCAGACUGUCAACUUGAGGGGAAACAAGAUCAAUGGAACCCUGAAUAUUGCAUCCAACUAUAGCAGUCAAUUAAAACUGAUUGAUUUGCAGAACAACUCCAUCGAUUCAUAUACAGUAAGACAUGGAUUUCCUUUUCAAAUAAUACUUAUGCAUAAUCCAGUUUGUUAUGAAGAAGGAUCAGAAGACUAUUGUGCCAUUUCCCAAACGAACUUUGGAUAUUCAACUCCACAAGAAAAUUGCCUUAAAACACAAUGCAGUUCUGAUCAAAUUCUUAGCCCUACCUGUAAAUGUGCUUAUCCGUACAUAGGCGACUUAUUCUUCAGAGCUCCUUCCUUUUCUGAUUUGACAAACACAAGCAUUUAUGAGUCACUUCAGAAGUCUAUGCUAUCUUCUUUUAGCCCAAAUCAGGUGCCAGUAGAUUCAGUUUCCUUGAGUAAUCCAAAAAAGAAUUCAGAGUACUACCUUGUGUUACACCUGCAAGUUUUUCCAUUUGGCCAAGAUCAUUUCAACCGUACAGGGAUUGCCACAAUUGGAUUUGCACUUAGCAACCAGACUUACAAACCCCCACCAAAGUUUGGACCAUUCUUUUUCAGUGGUGAAAGCUACAAAUACUUCGAAGUUGGAUCAAGAGGAACUCACAAGUCAAUCACUAAAGGAAUUAUAAUUGGAGCAGCUGCUGGUGGUGCUGUCCUUUUAAUUUUAUCAGUAAUAAUAGGAGUUUUAGUUUGCCAAAAGAAAAGAGAUCAAGAAGCUAUUAGAAAGAGUAACCCUUUCGCUACAUGGGAUUCUAUAAAAGACAGCGGUGGUGUUCCACAGUUAAAAGGUGUCAAAUGUUUCACAUUUGAAGAGUUGAAAAAAUACACCAAUAAUUUUUCAGAAAGCAAUUACAUUGGAUCUGGUGGUUAUGGGAAGGUAUACAAAGGCACACUUCCAGAUGGACAACUUAUUGCAAUUAAAAGAGCAGAACAAGCAUCUAAGCAAGGCGCCCUCGAGUUUAAAACUGAGAUUGAGAUUCUUUCAAGGUUUCAUCACAAAAAUGUUGUCAGCCUUGUAGGAUUUUGUUUCAGGCAAGGUGAACAGAUGCUGGUCUAUGAGUUUAUACCAAAUGGAUCCUUGAAAGAGAGUCUUUCAGGAAAGUCCGGGAUUAAGUUAGAUUGGAAGAGGAGACUUCGGAUAGCCCUUGGAGCAGCCAGAGGUUUGCAAUAUCUUCAUGAUCAUGUUGACCCUCCUAUCAUCCACAGAGAUAUCAAAUCGAAUAACAUCUUGCUGGAUGAGCGCUUGACUGCAAAAGUUGCUGAUUUUGGUCUUUCCAAGACGAUGUAUGAGCCAGACAAGGGUUACGUCAGCACUCAGGUUAAAGGAACAAUGGGCUACAUGGAUCCAGAGUACUACACAACACAACAGUUGACUGAGAAGAGUGAUGUCUAUAGCUUCGGAGUUCUGCUGCUAGAGCUUAUAACAGCACGGAGUCCAAUUGUGAGAGGAAAAUACAUUGUGAAGGAAUUGAGGCAAGCGAUAGACAAGUCUAAAGACAUGUACAACAUUGAUGAGUUUGUUGAUCCUGCUAUCCCCUCAAACAUGACACCUAUAAGCUUCAGGAAGUUUGUGGAUCUAGCUUUCACGUGCCUCGAAGAUGCAGGAGCUAAUAGGCCAACAAUGGCUGAGGUAGUGAAAGAGAUUGAGAAUAUCAUGGAAAUAGAUGGAUUGAACAGUUGUGCUGAAUCCAGAUCAACUUCUGUGAGCCACGAAGGAACCAGCGCAACCUUUGAUCAUCCUUACAGUGAGGAAAGCCUAAAUCGUUACAAUGGGGUCACCAAUUCGCGAUAAACACCAACUCUUCUCCUGGAACCAGGUACAUUGUCAUAGAAAUGGAAAGUGAUUCAAGCAACUGUUGUGCUUUUGUGUUAGCUGUGUACAUUCUGUGAACCUCUGUGUGCGGCGUAAAUUGCCUUAUACUAGAAAUGAUUCAAAAGUCCAUCUAAGGAUGUUUAUAAACAGACUUGUAUGUUUCAACUGUUUGCUUCUGAUAAUCCAGGAGCUAGACUCCGUGGAUUCAAAAUGAGUGAUUUUAUUGUACGUAUACAUUUUAAUUUUGA
RNA transcript from Solanum stenotomum, 3242 nucleotides. It is a transcript of the gene named leucine-rich repeat receptor protein kinase HPCA1-like, with no coding region annotated. The transcript has 19 exons. NCBI's taxonomy places the organism in Eukaryota, Viridiplantae, Streptophyta, Magnoliopsida, Solanales, Solanaceae. The record is from RefSeq and is a predicted model, not a curated record.